Molecule: ribosomal RNA, 1454 nt
Filed under: metagenome
Description: SSU rRNA
Rfam family: Eukaryotic small subunit ribosomal RNA
Source: RNAcentral
UGAUGGUACGUGAUAUGCCUACCAUGGUGAUAACGGGUAACGGGGAAUCAGGGUUCGAUUCCGGAGAGGGAGCCUGAGAAAUGGCUACCACAUCCAAGGAUGGCAGCAGGCGCGCAAAUUACCCACUCCCAGCUUGGGGAGGUAGUGACGAAAAAUAACAAUGCGGGACUCUAAGAGGCCCCGUAAUUGGAAUGAGUACACCUUAAAUCGUUUAACGAGUAUCAAUUGGAGGGCAAGUCUGGUGCCAGCAGCCGCGGUAAUUCCAGCUCCAAUAGCGUAUAUUAAAGUUGCUGCAGUUAAAAAGCUCGUAGUUGGAUCUGGGGCUUGAGGUCGCUGUCUAUCGUUUCGGCGAUGACGGUGAUGCUCAGCUCUGCUUGCCGGUGACUGUUGCGGUGUUCUUCACUGAGCGCUGUAGCAGCACGGCACGUUUACUUUGAAAAAAUUAGAGUGCUCAAAGCUGCUUGUCGCUUGAAUAAUGUUGCAUGGAAUAAUGGAAUAGGACCUCGGUUCUAUUUUGUUGGUUUUCGGAGCUUGAGGUAAUGAUUAAGAGGGACGAACGGGGGCAUUCGUAUUGCGGUGUUAGAGGUGAAAUUCUUGGAUCGCCGCAAGACGGACUACUGCGAAAGCAUUUGCCAAGAACGCUUUCAUUAAUUAAGAACGAAAGUCAGAGGUUCGAAGACGAUCAGACACCGUCCUAGUUCUGACCAUAAACGAUGCCGACCAGCGAUCCGUAGUGGUUGUUUUAUGGACCCUACGGGCAGCCUCCGGGAAACCAAAGUAUUUGGGUUCCGGGGGAAGUAUGGUUGCAAAGCUGAAACUUAAAGGAAUUGACGGAAGGGCACACCAGGAGUGGAGCCUGCGGCUUAAUUUGACUCAACACGGGAAAACUCACCCGGUCCGGACACCGUAAGGAUUGACAGACUGAUAGCUCUUUCUUGAUUCUGUGGAUGGUGGUGCAUGGCCGUUCUUAGUUGGUGGAGUGAUUUGUCUGGUUAAUUCCGAUAACGAACGAGACUCUAGCCUGCUAAGUAGUGUUGCUAUUGUUAUAUGGUUGACACUUCUUAGAGGGACAAGUGGCAUUUAGCCACGCGAAAUUGAGCAAUAACAGGUCUGUGAUGCCCUUAGAUGUCCGGGGCCGCACGCGCGCUACACUGGAGAAGUCAGCGUGUGUUAUCCAAGUCCGAAAGGACUGGGUAAUCCGUUGAACCUUCUUCGUGCUUGGGACUGUGGCUUGGAACUAUUCCACAUGAACGAGGAAUUCCUAGUAAUUGCAAGUCAUAAGCUUGCGUUGAUUACGUCCCUGCCCUUUGUACACACCGCCCGUCGCUACUACCGAUUGAAUGGUUUAGCAAGGUCCUCGGAUCGUGGCCGUAGGGGCACGCAAGUGUUUCUGCGGUUUGCGAGAAGACGACCAAACUUGAUCAUUUAGAGGAAGUAAAAGUCGUAACAAGGUU